AGAGGAAGACAGAGAGGCAUGGGGAAAUGAGGAUUUGGGGGGCAUAGACAGAGGGUUGCCAUGGUUGGAGAAAUUGGAGGUUCUUCGAUAGAUGACGCAACCCGAAGAAUGAUGGCGUUUAUAAUGUCACCUGACCUGGCACUGCAAUACAACCUCUUUGGACGUCAUGGGAAGAAACCCUUCAGGGAGCUACGUCUAUUUGAUCUUGUUUACGGAGCACUGAAGAAGAACAUCCUUACAAAGGACAUAAACCACAAGGAUGCGGAGAAGGCUUUCUCAAAAUGGUUUACAGGAGCUCGGGACAGAGGGGGCAAGCGGGCCGUCAGAGCACAGAGGGAGUUCAACAGAAGGGGUGAAACACAGGCUCUUCAGUCUCAAGAUGAGACACAAAUCCAAUAGAGGUCAACGAUCUGGUACUGGAGGUAAAAGUCUAUAUACGGACAAUUGUUUGUAUACGGAUUUUAAAAAAUGUCAGUUGAGGGUUUGAUUGGCAAAUUUAUUUUCAAAAACUAGACCUAAAAAAAAGUGGGUGGGCAGCGUUGUGACUGUCCUCCUGUGUGAAGAUUUGUGUGGGUUUUUUUUGUUCAAAGUUGGCAAUGUUCGUUUUCUGUUCAACCUUGUCACUCUUUUGUACCAUCUGUUCUAAACAUAUGCAGUUUGUGCAUUCACUAGUUACAGUGGGGUAGUUUAACUCAGACGGUGAUGAUGACACUGACUCAUAGUCCGCAAGUUGUUCUGCCUAUAUAGCCCAAAACCUCUUAUUCACACUGUUUUAAGUCAAACCAAAGCUCUACAAGGUUGAAAUUUAUACUUUUUUUUAAAAGAACAGUGAAGACCUAACUAUGGUAAAAGUAGUUAAAAAUAGUUCCCAUGCCUGCCAUUGUGGUUUCUGUUAUGUAUUCCAUGAUAUUUUGAGCAGUAAAGCGAAAGCAGCCAUUUGCAAUGCUUACAAUGCCCAAUGUUUAUGCAGUAAAAUGGCUAGUUUUUCAUGA
Molecule: long non-coding RNA, 992 nt
Organism: Notolabrus celidotus (New Zealand spotty)
Lineage: Eukaryota; Metazoa; Chordata; Actinopteri; Labriformes; Labridae
Exons: 3
Source: RefSeq, a predicted model, not a curated record